GAUGAACGCUGGCGGCGUGCCUAAUACAUGCAAGUCGAGCGAACAGACGAGGAGCUUGCUCCUCUGACGUUAGCGGCGGACGGGUGAGUAACACGUGGAGAACCUACCUAUAAGACUGGGAUAACUUCGGGAAACCGGAGCUAAUACCGGAUAAUAUAUUGAACCGCAUGGUUCAAUAGUGAAAGACGGUUUUGCUGUCACUUAUAGAUGGAUCCGCGCCGCAUUAGCUAGUUGGUAAGGUAACGGCUUACCAAGGCAACGAUGUGUAGCCGACCUGAGAGGAUGGUCCGCCACACUGGGACCGAGACACGGCCCAGACUCCGCCGGUAGGCAGCAGUGGGGAAGUUUGGACAAUUGGGGCAACCCGGAUCCAGCCAUGCCGCGUGUAUGAAGAAGGCCUAAGGCUUGUAAAGUACUUUUGUGAGGGAAAAAAAGACAGCUGUGAAUAAUGGCUGAUACGGACGGUACCUAAUGAAUAAGCACCGGCUAACUACGUG
RNAcentral lists this ribosomal RNA (497 nucleotides) under uncultured bacterium. RNAcentral's name for it is "partial 16S ribosomal RNA". It matches the Rfam family "Bacterial small subunit ribosomal RNA", at positions 28 to 507 of the family's 1533-position model. The record is from RNAcentral.